Molecule: ribosomal RNA, 802 nt
Filed under: uncultured bacterium
Lineage: Bacteria
Description: bacterial SSU rRNA
Rfam family: Bacterial small subunit ribosomal RNA
Source: RNAcentral
CGCUGGCGGCGUGCCUAAUACAUGCAAGUCGAGCGGGUUCUGGGAGGCUUGCCUCCUGGAAUCAGCGGCGGACGGGUGAGUAACACGUGGGCAAUCUGCCUGUCAGACCGGAAUAACGCCUGGAAACGGGUGCUAAUGCCGGAUAGAGCAAUGGGCAGGCAUCUGCCUGUUGGGAAAGGCACAAAUGUGCUGCUGACAGAGGAGCCCGCGGCGCAUUAGCUAGUUGGCGGGGUAACGGCCCACCAAGGCGACGAUGCGUAGCCGACCUGAGAGGGUGACCGGCCACACUGGGACUGAGACACGGCCCAGACUCCUACGGGAGGCAGCAGUAGGGAAUCUUCCGCAAUGGGCGCAAGCCUGACGGAGCAACGCCGCGUGAGCGAAGAAGGCCUUCGGGUUGUAAAGCUCAGUCACCCGGGAAGAGCGACCUGUGGAGUGGAAAGCCGCAGGGGAGACGGUACCGGGAGAGGAAGCCCCGGCAAACUACGUGCCAGCAGCCGCGGUAAUACGUAGGGGGCGAGCGUUGUCCGGAAUCACUGGGCGUAAAGCGUGCGUAGGCGGUCAAGCAAGUCCGAGGUGAAAGACCGAGGCUCAACCUCGGGGUGGCCUUGGAAACUGUUUGACUUGAGUGCUGGAGAGGCAAGGGGAAUUCCACGUGUAGCGGUGAAAUGCGUANAUAUGUGGANGGAAUACCAGUGGCGAANGCGCCUUGCUGGACAGUGACUGACNCUUNAGGCACNAAAAGCGUGGGGGAGCAAACAGGGAUUANAUACCCCUGGUAGUCCNCNCCNGUAAACGAUGA